UUUAUGGAGAGUUUGAUCCUGGCUCAGGAUGAACGCUGGCGGCGUGCCUAAUACAUGCAAGUCGAGCGAACGGACGAAAAGCUUGCUUCUCUGAUGUUAGCGGCGGACGGGUGAGUAACACGUGGAUAACCUACCUAUAAGACUGGGAUAACUUCGGGAAACCG
RNAcentral lists this ribosomal RNA (164 nucleotides) under Staphylococcus aureus. Its description in RNAcentral is "partial 16S ribosomal RNA". It matches the Rfam family "Bacterial small subunit ribosomal RNA", at positions 1 to 159 of the family's 1533-position model. The record is from RNAcentral. Lineage: Bacteria; Bacillati; Bacillota; Bacilli; Caryophanales; Staphylococcaceae.